AUGAUGUUGAAAAGGAGUCUAAUUCUGGUGCUAGUGCUUAACUGUGCGACGAAAGGCUUAAGUCACCAAGAUAGCUACUUGAGGGAAGCCAAAAAGACCUGUGCUCGAACCUCUGGCGCCUCCUUAUCCUGUCUCAAGUACGAGUUGCUGCUGUUCUUUCAUAAAAUUCUCACAACAAAACAACGGAAUACUCAAGUUGAUUCUUUGAAGUUGGUCAGCCUGCCGCGCCGACUACAAUCCGAUGUGAAUUUUUCACUUUUCCCCUCCACGCCCCCUGCUGAAAGGAGGGACAAGGGGGACACUACUACGUCCUCGGAAUGGGGGAAGUUGGUGGGGUUCCUGGACCGGGAAGCCUCACAAUUUGUGGCGACUCACGGGCUCCAAAUCCCUCUGCCAAACUGGGCCGCUAAUCUACCCCUCCUCUUCUUCAAAGUCUACCAAAGUCCUGCUCACCCCUCUCCACGUUCAGGUUCGGACCCGGACUCAGUCGCAGAGGAUCCAGACCGCCGCGGAUCGACGACCGGAAGCUACAAGAAGUUCUACCUGCUGUUCCCUCUGAUCGCGGUGUUCAAGUUCCUAAUCAUCAAGCUCCUGCUCAUCCCGAUCCUCAUCGGCGUCUUCGCCAUCAAGAAGAUGCUCGUGGCGGCGGCCAUGGCCCUGCCCACCCUCCUCCAGCUCUUCCGCUGCCCCCGCAACCCCCUCGUCCCUGGGGCCCCCGGCGCCGGGGGUCUCCCACCCCUGCCCGCCGGGAACCUGGUGGGCCUCCUCCCGGCCGCCUAUCAGGGCUACACCGCCACUGCCUCGGCCGUCGCUGAGCCUCUGGUCACCGACUACUCCCACUACGGCUACCCCGCGCGUCUUCAUCCACCGCCUCAUGCGCUCUAUGCUCACCCGCACCCCCAUCCCCAUCACGCACAGUGGGAGAACCUUAAAAACUACAAGUCUCACGAGCUUGAUUGA
Molecule: long non-coding RNA, 960 nt
Filed under: Bemisia tabaci
Lineage: Eukaryota; Metazoa; Arthropoda; Insecta; Hemiptera; Aleyrodidae
Description: lncRNA ENSSSA1NGG013223
Source: RNAcentral